This 386-nucleotide ribosomal RNA is filed under the name uncultured prokaryote. Its description in RNAcentral is "bacterial SSU rRNA". It matches the Rfam family "Archaeal small subunit ribosomal RNA", at positions 339 to 725 of the family's 1478-position model. The record is from RNAcentral.
GCGCGAACACUUUACAAUGCUGGCAACAGCGAUAAGGGAACCUCGAGUGCCAGGUUACAAAUCUGGCUGUCGAGAUGCCUAAAAAGCAUUUCAUAGCAAGGGCCGGGCAAGACCGGUGCCAGCCGCCGCGGUAACACCGGCGGCUCGAGUGGUAACCGUUAUUAUUGGGUCUAAAGGGUCUGUAGCCGGCCGGUUAAGUCUCUUGAGAAAUCUGGCAGCUUAACUGUCAGGCUUUCAGGAGAUACUGUCUGGCUCGAGGCCGGGAGAGGUGAGAGGUACUUCAGGGGUAGGGGUGAAAUCUUGUAAUCCUUGAAGGACCACCAGUGGCGAAGGCGUCUCACCAGAACGGACCUGACGGCAAGGGACGAAAGCUAGGGGCACGAACC